AGAGUUUGAUCCUGGCUCAGAAUGAACGCUGGCGGUAUGCCUAACACAUGCAAGUCAUACGACGUGUUUUUUCUUUUUGGUUUCGAUCAGAAAUAAAAAACAUUGUAGUGGCGGACGGGUGAGUAACGCGUAAGAACUUACCUCUAGGAGGGGGAUAACAUCUGGGAAACUGGUGCUAAUACCCCAUAUGCUGAGAAGUGAAAAGGUUUUCACCGCCUAGAGAGAGGCUUGCGUCUGAUUAGCUAGUUGGUAAGGUAAAAGCUUACCAAGGCUACGAUCAGUAGUUGGUCUGAGAGGAUGACCAGCCACACUGGGACUGAGACACGGCCCAGACUCCUACGGGAGGCAGCAGUGAGGAAUUUUCCACAAUGGGCUAACGCCUGAUGGAGCAAUACCGCGUGGAGGAUGACGGCCCAUGGGUUGUAAACUCCUUUUCUUAGGGAAGAACGAAAUGACGGUACCUAAGGAAUAAGUAACGGCAAACUCGGUGCCAGCAGCCGCGGUUUUUUUUGGCUGCAAUAGAAAGUUGUUGAGAUGUAUAAUAUUACUUUACAUUGAAAAAUUUUGUUGAAAUUUGAAUAUUAUUGGAUAGAGAAUAUAGUAGUUUAAUGAAUAAUAAAUAAAAUUUAAAAGAAGGAAAAAAUAUGACAAUUUGUAUUAAUUAUUUAGUUGGUUAUUUUUUAACAGAUGGAGGUUUUAUUGUUACUUUGAAUAAAAAUAAAGGAACUAUUGAUGUUACCUUUAAAAUUUCAAGUAAAAAUAAAGUUAUGUUAGUUUUAUUGGAAAAAUUUAUAAAAAAAGAGAUAAAUGUUACGGCUAAGAUUGAUGCAUCAAAACCAUCUUCUAAUCGUGCAUCUGCACUUAGAAUUCAAGGUGUUGAACAAGUCUUAAAAGUUAUGCAAUUUAUAAAAUCUAAGGCAUCUAUAGUGGAACUUAAUGGUACAUGUUUCUUUUUUAUUGGAACAAAGUACCGAACUUUUUUAAUUGUUGAAUAUUUGAUCAAAAACAGGAAAGAACUGAAUAAAAAUCGUGCAAUUCAAAUUGACUUAAUUAAAAGUUUGCAUAAAAUAUCUAGAACUGAUCCAGAUGAAAAUUUGGGAGGUUCACAAACAGUAUCAAGAGAAGAUUUAGAAACACGUUAUGGUUUACAAAAAGAUUCUUCUAUUAAUGCAGCAGCAGAUAUUUUAAGUAAAAUUGAUGAAAAAUUUAAUGAACAAGUGCAUUUAAUAUUAAAUGGAUUAAAUAGGAAAACAUUAAAAGUGAAUUCAAGUUUUAUAGUAGGUCUCACUGAUGGGGAUGGGGGUUUUACCCUUACUCUGUCGGAUACUCGCAAAACUAUAAAGUUAGAACUAACUUUAACCUGUGAUAUUACAUCAACUCUUGUAAAUGAUGUUUGGUGUUAUGCUUUAAUAGGUAAAAUUAUUGCAGCAGCUAAAGUCCCAAAUAAAAACGCUUAUCAAACUCAAAUUCGCACUAACGAUGAUUUAGAAAAAGUUUUGUGUUUUUUUUCUAAAAACACACCAAUAGCUUCUGAUAGAAAAGCUAGAUUUGACUUAAUGCUUGAAAUUUUUCAAGCAAAAAAAAAUAAAACGUAUAAUUAUGAUUUGUAUAAACAAAAGAUUUUAUCUUUGCGAUACUAUUUAAAAGAGUAAAGAGAUUAUUACUAUUCAAUAUUUUAUUAUCAAAUUUUCGUUAAAAUUUAACAAUUUUCUAUAUUUUAUAAAAAAAAAAAUGGCCGCCUAUUUGCGUAAGCAAAUUGUAAAAUCCAGCUCAUAACGGUGAAGCCUAAAUCCAAUUUUUUUGGACAUGGGAAUACCGUGGGAAGUUUAAGUAUUGUAGAAACAAUAGUUGCUGAAAAAAUCAUUUUUCAGCUAUCCUUACUUAUAACCCCGUAAAGACUAACUCGAAAGAGAAGAGAGAAAAUCUCAAACGCUGGCUCUUAGUAGUUUCAAGUUACUAUGGUUAAAUAACCUAAAGUAAAAUAAGCUAAGAUGAAGGUAUAGUCUGGACCCAAGAUUAAAAUUUGGGGUAAUCUGAAUACCGGGGUUACAAGCGUUAUUCGGAAUGAUUGGGCGUAAAGCGUCUGUAGGUGGUUUCGCGAAGUCUACUGUCAAAUACCAGGGCUCAACCUUGGACAGGCAUUAGAAACUCGGAAACUAGAGUUCGGUGGGGGCAGAGGGAAUUCUCAGUGGAGCGGUGAAAUGCAUAGAGAUUGAGGAGAACACCAAUGGCGAAGGCACUCUGCUGGGCCGUUACUGACACUGAGAGACGAAAGCUAGAGGAGCAACAAGGAUUAGAUACCCUUUUAGUUCUAGCCGUAAACGAUGGAUACUAAGUGCUGUCAAAAAACAGUGCUGUAGCUAACGCGUUAAGUAUCCCGCCUGGGGAGUAUGCUCGCAAGAGUGAAACUCAAAGGAAUUGACGGGGGCCCGCACAAGCCGUGGAUUAUGUGGUUUAAUAUGAUGCAACCCGUUGAACCUUACCAGGAUUUGACAUGUCAGAAACUCCCAGAGAUGGGAGGUGCCAAUUCUUUUAUUAAAGAAUUGGAAUCUGAACACAGGUGGUGCACGGCUGUCGUCAGCUCGUGAUGUGAAUUAUUGGGUUCAGUCCCGCAACGAGCGCAACCCUCGUCCUUAGUUACCACUUUUAGUGGGUCUCUAGGGAGACUGCCGGUGUAAGCCGGAGGAAGGUGAGGACGACGUCAAGUCAGCAUGCCCCUUAUAUCCUGGGCUACACACGUAAUACAAUGGCCGGGACAAUGAGAUGCGACCCCGCGAGGGCCAGCUAACCUCACAAACCCGGCCUCAGUUCGGAUCGUAGGCUGCAACUCGCCUACGUGAAGUCGGAAUGGCUAGUAAUCGCCGGUCAGCUAUACGGCGGUGAAUACGUUCCCGGGCCUUGUACACACUGCCCGUCAAAGGUCGGAAGGAGAUAUGGUCGGAAGUGGUUUUGCCUAACGAUUUCAUCGAGGGCAACUACAAAUUCCCUGUUUCCAACUAAUCUUAAGUCGUAACAAGGUAGCCCUACUGGAAGGUGGGGCUGGAGGAUCC
RNAcentral lists this ribosomal RNA (3050 nucleotides) under Chaetophoropsis cf. attenuata FACHB-2291. RNAcentral's name for it is "16S ribosomal RNA". The stretch from base 1988 to 3050 matches the Rfam family "Bacterial small subunit ribosomal RNA". Lineage: Eukaryota; Viridiplantae; Chlorophyta; Chlorophyceae; Chaetophorales; Chaetophoraceae. The record is from RNAcentral.